GUAAGGAAUAUUGGUCAAUGGAGGCAACUCUGAACCAGCCAUGCCGCGUGCAGGAAGACGGCCCUCUGGGUUGUAAACUGCUUUUAUCCGGGAAUAAACCUGCCUUCGUGAAGGUAGCUGAAUGUACCGGAAGAAUAAGGAUCGGCUAACUCCGUGCCAGCAGCCGCGGUAAUACGGAGGAUCCAAGCGUUAUCCGGAUUUAUUGGGUUUAAAGGGUGCGUAGGCGGCCUGUUAAGUCAGGGGUGAAAGACGGUGGCUCAACCAUCGCAGUGCGCUUGAUACUGAUGGGCUUGAAUGGACUAGAGGUAGGCGGAAUGUGACAAGUAGCGGUGAAAUGCAUAGAUAUGUCACAGAACACCGAUUGCGAAGGCAGCUUACUAUGGUCCUAUUGACGCUGAGGCACGAAAGCGUGGGGAUCGAACAGGAUUAGAAACCCUUGUAGUCC
This 445-nucleotide ribosomal RNA is filed under the name uncultured bacterium. RNAcentral's name for it is "partial 16S ribosomal RNA". It matches the Rfam family "Bacterial small subunit ribosomal RNA", at positions 354 to 796 of the family's 1533-position model. The record is from RNAcentral.